AUGACUUUAUUUAGUGAUGAAUCCACUAUUUCGGAAGAGGUUCCAAUUGAUUAUGAGAACAAAGUUGCUAUCUAUGAUGAUUAUUGUGAUGACUUGUAUUCUAUUAAGAAUAAUGAUAACCAUGAAACUUGUCAUCAUGAUUUUAGUUUUCAAUUGGAUUAUGCCUCACAUGAUAAUUAUUUUGUUGAGUUUGCUCCCACUAUUAUUCAUGAGAAGAAAUUCGCUUAUGUGGAGAGUAAUAAAAUUUAUAUGCUUGGGGAUCAUGAAAAGAAUGCUUUGUGUGAUGGUUAUAUUGUUGAAUUCAUUCAUGAUGCUACUGAAAAUUAUUAUGAGGGAGGAAUAUAUGCUUGUAGGAAUUGCAAUAAUAUCAAGUUUCCUCUCUAUGUGCUUAAAGUUUUAAAGUUAUGCUUGUUUUGCCUUCCUAUGCUAGUUGAUUAUUGUUCCCAUAAGUUGUUUGUUCACUAG
Molecule: ribosomal RNA, 465 nt
Filed under: Triticum aestivum (bread wheat)
Lineage: Eukaryota; Viridiplantae; Streptophyta; Magnoliopsida; Poales; Poaceae
Description: partial small subunit ribosomal RNA
Source: RNAcentral